This 288-nucleotide long non-coding RNA is filed under the name Linum usitatissimum (flax). Its description in RNAcentral is "long non-coding RNA (LUSI_LNC002146)". The record is from RNAcentral. Lineage: Eukaryota; Viridiplantae; Streptophyta; Magnoliopsida; Malpighiales; Linaceae.
AAGAAAAUAUCCUGGGCCGAGGACCGACUAACAAACAAACAACACAGAGAGGAGUGUUCAGCUCCCGAUUUCGCCUUCUUCUUUUUUGUUUGUGAUAAUCCCAAUCCCCCCCUCUCUCUCUCUGAGAUAAUCGAAAACCUAAAGCCCAAAAUCAGAGAGAAGAGAGAACAACACGAACAGUACGCCCACGCCCUUCUUCCCUCGGUGUUAUCAUCCAUUUUCUUUCUCUGAAUUCUGUAUUACUUGCCUGUCUGGCCGUAGGACGUGUAUCCUUAUCUGAAUUUCGCG